GUGCUCACUUUGGCAGCACCAAUACUAAAAUUGUAACGAUACAGAGAAGAUUAGCAGGGCCCCUGUGCAAGGAUGACAGGCACAUUCGUGAGGUGUUCCAUAGUUCC
Molecule: small nuclear RNA, 107 nt
Filed under: Sciurus vulgaris (Eurasian red squirrel)
Lineage: Eukaryota; Metazoa; Chordata; Mammalia; Rodentia; Sciuridae
Source: RNAcentral